This 1436-nucleotide ribosomal RNA is filed under the name bacterium. RNAcentral's name for it is "bacterial SSU rRNA". It matches the Rfam family "Bacterial small subunit ribosomal RNA". The record is from RNAcentral.
UGCCUAAUACAUGCAAGUAGAACGCUGAAGAGAGGAGCUUGCUCUUCUUGGAUGAGUUGCGAACGGGUGAGUAACGCGUAGGUAACCUGCCUUGUAGCGGGGGAUAACUAUUGGAAACGAUAGCUAAUACCGCAUAACAAUGGAUGACACAUGUCAUUUAUUUGAAAGGGGCAAUUGCUCCACUACAAGAUGGACCUGCGUUGUAUUAGCUAGUAGGUGAGGUAACGGCUCACCUAGGCGACGAUACAUAGCCGACCUGAGAGGGUGAUCGGCCACACUGGGACUGAGACACGGCCCAGACUCCUACGGGAGGCAGCAGUAGGGAAUCUUCGGCAAUGGGGGCAACCCUGACCGAGCAACGCCGCGUGAGUGAAGAAGGUUUUCGGAUCGUAAAGCUCUGUUGUAAGUCAAGAACGAGUGUGAGAGUGGAAAGUUCACACUGUGACGGUAGCUUACCAGAAAGGGACGGCUAACUACGUGCCAGCAGCCGCGGUAAUACGUAGGUCCCGAGCGUUGUCCGGAUUUAUUGGGCGUAAAGCGAGCGCAGGCGGUUUGAUAAGUCUGAAGUUAAAGGCUGUGGCUCAACCAUAGUUCGCUUUGGAAACUGUCAAACUUGAGUGCAGAAGGGGAGAGUGGAAUUCCAUGUGUAGCGGUGAAAUGCGUAGAUAUAUGGAGGAACACCGGUGGCGAAAGCGGCUCUCUGGUCUGUAACUGACGCUGAGGCUCGAAAGCGUGGGGAGCGAACAGGAUUAGAUACCCUGGUAGUCCACGCCGUAAACGAUGAGUGCUAGGUGUUGGAUCCUUUCCGGGAUUCAGUGCCGCAGCUAACGCAUUAAGCACUCCGCCUGGGGAGUACGACCGCAAGGUUGAAACUCAAAGGAAUUGACGGGGGCCCGCACAAGCGGUGGAGCAUGUGGUUUAAUUCGAAGCAACGCGAAGAACCUUACCAGGUCUUGACAUCCCGAUGCUAUUUCUAGAGAUAGAAAGUUACUUCGGUACAUCGGUGACAGGUGGUGCAUGGUUGUCGUCAGCUCGUGUCGUGAGAUGUUGGGUUAAGUCCCGCAACGAGCGCAACCCCUAUUGUUAGUUGCCAUCAUUCAGUUGGGCACUCUAGCGAGACUGCCGGUAAUAAACCGGAGGAAGGUGGGGAUGACGUCAAAUCAUCAUGCCCCUUAUGACCUGGGCUACACACGUGCUACAAUGGUUGGUACAACGAGUUGCGAGUCGGUGACGGCAAGCUAAUCUCUUAAAGCCAAUCUCAGUUCGGAUUGUAGGCUGCAACUCGCCUACAUGAAGUCGGAAUCGCUAGUAAUCGCGGAUCAGCACGCCGCGGUGAAUACGUUCCCGGGCCUUGUACACACCGCCCGUCACACCACGAGAGUUUGUAACACCCGAAGUCGGUGAGGUAACCUUUUGGAGCCAGCCGCCUAAGGUGG